This 433-nucleotide ribosomal RNA is filed under the name uncultured bacterium. RNAcentral describes it as "bacterial SSU rRNA". It matches the Rfam family "Bacterial small subunit ribosomal RNA", at positions 29 to 506 of the family's 1533-position model. The record is from RNAcentral.
ACGAACGCUGGCGGCAGGCUUAACACAUGCAAGUCGAACGCGUGUAGCAAUACACGAGUGGCGCACGGGUGAGUAACGCGUGGAUAUCUGCCUUUUGGUUCGGAAUAACCCCGGGAAACUGGGGCUAAUACCGGAUGGUUCCUUCGGGAUAAAGAUUUAUCGCCAAAAGAUGAGUCCGCGUCCGAUUAGCUAGUUGGUGAGGUAAUGGCUCACCAAGGCGACGAUCGGUAGCUGGUCUGAGAGGACGAUCAGCCACACUGGGACUGAGACACGGCCCAGACUCCUACGGGAGGCAGCAGUGGGGAAUAUUGGACAAUGGAGGCAACUCUGACGCAGCGAUGCCGCGUGGGUGAAUAAGGCCUUAGGGUUGUAAAGCCCUUUCAGUGGGAAAGAUGAUGACGGUACCCACAGAAGAAGCCCCGGCUAACUCCGU